This 295-nucleotide ribosomal RNA is filed under the name Streptomyces sp. SID8014. Its description in RNAcentral is "partial 23S ribosomal RNA". It matches the Rfam family "Bacterial large subunit ribosomal RNA", at positions 2637 to 2925 of the family's 2925-position model. Lineage: Bacteria; Bacillati; Actinomycetota; Actinomycetes; Kitasatosporales; Streptomycetaceae. The record is from RNAcentral.
CCUAUCCGCUGUGCGCGUAGGAAUAUUGAGAAGGGCUGUCCCUAGUACGAGAGGACCGGGACGGACGAACCUCUGGUGUGCCAGUUGUUCUGCCAAGGGCAUGGCUGGUUGGCUACGUUCGGGAGGGAUAACCGCUGAAAGCAUCUAAGCGGGAAGCCUGCUUCGAGAUGAGUGUUCCCACCUCCUUGAGAGGGUAAGGCUCCCAGUAGACGACUGGGUUGAUAGGCCGGAUAUGGAAGCCCUGUAAGGGGUGGAGUUGACCGGUACUAAUAGGCCGAGGGCUUGUCCUCAGUUG